ACGCUCACACCUACGGGAGGCAGCAGUGGGGAAUAUUGCACAAUGGGGGAAACCCUGAUGCAGCGACGCCGCGUGGAGGAAGAAGGUCUUCGGAUUGUAAACUCCUGUUGUUGGGGAAAAAGAGGAUGGUACCCAACAAGGAAGUGACGGCUAACUACGUGCCAGCAGCCGGGUAAUCUGAGCGGGCUGGCAAGGC
This 196-nucleotide ribosomal RNA is filed under the name uncultured bacterium. Its description in RNAcentral is "partial 16S ribosomal RNA". It matches the Rfam family "Bacterial small subunit ribosomal RNA", at positions 329 to 539 of the family's 1533-position model. The record is from RNAcentral.